AACUUUGGACAAUGGGGGCAACCCUGAUCCAGCCAUGCCGCGUGCGGGAAGAAGGCCUUCGGGUUGUAAACCGCUUUCGUCAGGAACGAAANGGUCUGGGCUAAUACCCCGGACUGAUGACGGUACCUGAAGAAUAAGCACCGGCUAACUACGUGCCAGCAGCCGCGGUAAUACGUAGGGUGCGAGCGUUAAUCGGAAUUACUGGGCGUAAAGCGUGCGCAGGCGGUUCUGUAAGACAGAUGUGAAAUCCCCGGGCUUAACCUGGGAACUGCAUUUGUGACUGCAGGGCUAGAGUGYGGCAGAGGGGGAUGGAAUUCCGCGUGUAGCAGUGAAAUGCGUAGAUAUGCGGAGGAACACCGAUGGCGAAGGCAGUCCCCUGGGUCUGUACUGACGCUCAUGCACGAAAGCGUGGGGAGCAAACAGGAUUAGAUACCCUGGUAGUCCACGCCCUAAACGAUGUCAACUGGUUGUUGGG
This 475-nucleotide ribosomal RNA is filed under the name uncultured beta proteobacterium. Its description in RNAcentral is "bacterial SSU rRNA". It matches the Rfam family "Bacterial small subunit ribosomal RNA", at positions 360 to 827 of the family's 1533-position model. The record is from RNAcentral. Lineage: Bacteria; Pseudomonadati; Pseudomonadota; Betaproteobacteria.